This 465-nucleotide ribosomal RNA is filed under the name uncultured bacterium. RNAcentral's name for it is "partial 16S ribosomal RNA". It matches the Rfam family "Bacterial small subunit ribosomal RNA", at positions 338 to 795 of the family's 1533-position model. The record is from RNAcentral.
CCUACGGGAGGCAGCAGUAGGGAAUCUUCCACAAUGGGCGAAAGCCUGAUGGAGCAACGCCGCGUGGGUGAAGAAGGUCUUCGGAUCGUAAAACCCUGUUGUUAGAGAAGAAAGUGCGUGAGAGUAACUGUUCACGUUUCGACGGUAUCUAACCAGAAAGCCACGGCUAACUACGUGCCAGCAGCCGCGGUAAUACGUAGGUGGCAAGCGUUAUCCGGAUUGAUUGGGCGUAAAGGGAACGCAGGCGGUCUUUUAAAUCUGAUGUGAAAGCCUUCGGCUUAACCGGAGUAGUGCAUUGGAAACUGGGAGACUUGAGUGCAGAAGAGGAGAGUGGAACUCCAUGUGUAGCGGUGAAAUGCGUAGAUAUAUGGAAGAACACCAGUGGCGAAAGCGGCUCUCUGGUCUGUAACUGACGCUGAGGUUCGAAAGCGUGGGUAGCAAACAGGAUUAGAUACCCCUUUAGUC